RNAcentral lists this unclassified non-coding RNA (1751 nucleotides) under Hevea brasiliensis (rubber tree). The record is from RNAcentral. Lineage: Eukaryota; Viridiplantae; Streptophyta; Magnoliopsida; Malpighiales; Euphorbiaceae.
AGCUUACCAUACAUUAACAAUUAUCCUAGCUUUGUUAAGUACAUAACCCUAGAUCUUGUGGAUAUUGUUCACAACAACGUCAAGUCAAAGUAAAUCGAAUGAUUGGCUUACAACUCGUGGACUCGUUAGAUCAAACUCCAUUGCAAUGAAAUGGAAGAACACAUUCCUUAGACUUGAAUUGUGUUUUAGAUUUUAGAAUUGCUCAUAUAGCCGCACUAAGAGCAAGACAAUUGCGGUAUGACAAAAAUCACAAUUUAAAUUCUCUAUUUUUUAGUUCUUCAAAUAUAUUUAUGAUAACAAAAUAGUCCUUUUAAAUUUAUGCUGUUGAUUCAACCACCAACUCUUUUUGGUCUUUUGAAUGCAGAUCUCUAGGUUUGAUGCAGUACACACGAGACCCAAGAUGCUGAACUUCAAGCCCAGCAACCUCACAACCACUGAAAAAUAAAGAUACAUCCUCCUUUCCAAUCCUGCGUCUCCAACUCAUUAAAAAUGCAGGCCUGGGCAACCCCAUGAAUGUUCCUCCAUUCUGUUCAUUAGCUGCGACUACUUCGUCAUUUUUUGGCUUGUAAGAUUUGAGGAGAAAGGAAAGAGUUUCUAUCAGGUUCGAGUACUGUUUCACAUACAAUAAUAUAUCACUAGCUAUAACCAAGUCCCAGUCAGGAUCAGCAAUUGGAAACGUGUCACCCCAUGUAUGCUUUAUGUGAGGAAGGACAGGUGUGAUUCCAUUUGCAGCACAGUUAUAAGCUAUGUUCUCUUCAAUUUCUUGAUCAUUGUAGUCUGAUGUCGUGAUAUCAAGAUUAAAUGAUCUGCUAAGAAAAAUAGCUAAAGUUCCUGUGCCACUGCCAUCGAGUGAAAUUAUUUGCAUCAACUGUAAGUUAAAAACUAUAUGGAAGAGUAGCUAUUGAACUAAGGGCAUAUAGGCAAGGAGAAAGGGGUACCAACAGGAUGGAAAGAUGAAUUAUGGUCCAACAUCACCUUAGGUGAGUUAGAUGUGAGGAAUACUACUAAUACAUCACAAAGUUGAGGGGAAGAAACAAGGAUAGUACCUGCCCAAUUCAAUGCAACGGCGUCUUUCUAUAUGUGACCUAUGCUGAACUAACCAUUCUGCAAAUGCAAAUGUCCCUGGCCAGAGUAAAUUAGCAUUCAGCCGAUGAAAAGAAAAUUCUCGGAUGAGCAACUCCUGCAUACAAGCCAAAAGACAUAGCAUGAAGACUGAAGAUCAUAAGAGCCCAACCAACCCUAAACAACCAUUCCUGAAACAGAAUGACCAAGAUGCUUUAUCAUAUACACAAUAAUUACACAAACAUGAACAGCUGCAUCCUCAUAUGAUAAUACCGCAUAAAUUAGUAACAAAAACCCAAAUAGUUGAAAUCCCAAAUCUAACUCUUUCAUAUGCUGCCCUCAAAAACUGAACUCAAUAACAGCAACACGUUUUAUUCAAUAAAAUCCUCUCAAUUUCUACUUACCUAAAUUCAGAUUCACAUAGCAAGAAACAACUGUGCUAUAUGGUGACAGCAUCCAAUUCAAGGACUCAUUCAUAUGGUCUUCAUACUUAAAUGACUAAGGCUUGAUUGCAAAAUUUAAUACUUAAGCACAGCAAAAAGGGGGGAAAAAAAAGUGAAAAUGAAACCUCAUAAAAAGAAUUUGCGUUACUUAACCAAACAUAUGCUACCCAAUUCAUCAAUCCAACAUUUUAAAGAGUACAUUUGAAAGUUGAAUAUGAAAUACUCAGUUAAACAGUAUGUGCCACU